This is a non-coding RNA of Chiloscyllium plagiosum (whitespotted bambooshark), 415 nucleotides long. The record is from RefSeq and is a predicted model, not a curated record. Lineage: Eukaryota; Metazoa; Chordata; Chondrichthyes; Orectolobiformes; Hemiscylliidae.
CUCAAACCAAUUCGAAAUGCAUAAGAAAUAGCAACCUUCUCAUGAAGGCUACAUUGUGAGAACUAAUUUUAAAACACCCAGAUUAAUUAGGAGAUGCCUGUCAAGCAGCUAUUCUUCACACCUGCAGUUUUUGGGGAGCUGUGUUGCCUGCUGCAGUCAGAAACCACACAGACAGGAUUCGUCUGGUGCCAGACAAGACGUUUGCAGCAGAUACCUGGCUCACGCUCUCUCGACUCCCAGUACUGAAAUGGAGGCUGCUGAGUCACAGGUGGAUGUGGCAAUAUUACUUGCCUGCACCUAACGACCCCCUGAACUGUGUGCCUUGCUUGGUCGUUUCAGAGGACGAUUAAGAGUCAGUCACAUGUAGACCAUGAUUUGAUGAUGCCGGUGUUGGACUGGGAUGGACAAAGUUAAA